GGCGUGGUACCCAAGUGGUCAGGGAGCGGUCUGCAAAACCGCUAUACGCGGGUUCGAAUCCCGCCCACGCCU
RNAcentral lists this transfer RNA (72 nucleotides) under Candidatus Omnitrophota bacterium. RNAcentral describes it as "tRNA-Cys". It matches the Rfam family "tRNA". Rfam says of the family: Transfer RNA (tRNA) molecules are approximately 80 nucleotides in length. Their secondary structure includes four short double-helical elements and three loops (D, anti-codon, and T loops). Further hydrogen bonds mediate the characteristic L-shaped molecular structure. tRNAs have two regions of fundamental functional importance: the anti-codon, which is responsible for specific mRNA codon recognition, and the 3' end, to which the tRNAs corresponding amino acid is attached (by aminoacyl-tRNA synthetases). tRNAs cope with the degeneracy of the genetic code in two manners: having more than one tRNA (with a specific anti-codon) for a particular amino acid; and 'wobble' base-pairing, i.e. permitting non-standard base-pairing at the 3rd anti-codon position. The record is from RNAcentral. Lineage: Bacteria; Pseudomonadati; Candidatus Omnitrophota. RNAcentral also lists the same sequence under 1 other name.